UCCUACACAAACUCUAAGUAAGCCAAAACAAACAAAUAAACAAACAAAAAAAACAUCUACUGAAUCCCAUCUGGCUAAGCGGGAACGUGAUCGUGGUCGAGCGAAAACUAGAGUGAACAUUGGCAGGGCAUUUGAUUCCUGGAGGGAACUUCAUUCGGUUUUGGGGAUCAAAACCGACCCUGAAUUGGCGUUCUUCUUAUUGGACAGAACAGCUGCAGGCACCCAGAAAUGAAUGCAUAUUUAAUAAAGCCUAAUUCUACUGCACACUGAAGAAGAAAAAACAGCACUCUAAAGGUUCCUUUACCCCUCUGCCACCCUUGGAUUACCUUAUCUGCCAAGGAUUCAUGCUGUGCUGCCUUAGAAUUUGGCUAAAACAAGGUAUUUUAAAAAGCAGUAUAAUGUUGCUGCCUAUUUGGACCAACCUUUAUGUAAGUAUUGCUUCUAUGAUGCCUUCGGAUGCCCUCUUGGUAGGCAAAUUACUAGGUUUUGGAACUAUUCAGCUGUUCUGCAGAGUGAGCAGUAGUGUUGGUGCUGCAGACAUUCUCACCAGCCCACGUAUUUAAGAAAUUAAAGAAAUAGAUGAACUAAAAAAUAGAUGAAUUUAAAAUAAACUUGUAUAUCGCUUUUCACCACACACAUUGUUUCAAAGGAGCUUUACAGAAUUAUGUUUAUGUUGUAGAACAAUGGCAAACCCAUGUGGCAGACUUCAAGUGAACAUUCAACAUGAUCACACAGGAAAUCAACAUACUGCUACCGAUUUUUCUGGUACGCUGAAAUCGACCCCAUUCAUCCGAGUUCCUGACAAGCGCUAUCUCACAUCAGACAUUCAAAUGCGUUUACCUUUCCCUGUGACAUUACUGAUAGCGCAUUGUUUUAGCAGUCUCAGAGGGAUGUGUUCUGGUCUCAAGAAAACCAGGAAAUAACUGAGUUCACAUAAUCAAUGGCGAGCAUGAUUCAGAGGUUGCAUUUUUGCUCAAAAAUAAAAUGUUUACUCCACUGACAGUUAUGGUGAGGGUUGGGGCAUAUAGUUGAUAAAAUAUACAUUCCUGUUGACUGUACUACAUGUUUGACACAAAAAAAUUAUAAUUACUUUACAGUUUUUGCUGCCCCUCUGUGGAAAUUUUAUCUGGAAAAUGUGCCCAUGUGUUUAACAAUACCUCCAGCUUCAGCCACUGUUCAAAUGUCAGUAAGCACAGCCUGAUUUCAGCCGAAGAAUUUUCGACUUACUGUGGCCCAUUUCACAGUAAAAUCAGUCUGGAACAUUGUCACAAAUGGCUGCAAAUAAAUUUGCAAGGACAUGGAUAUCUCAGGUUCAAAUCAAAAUAUGUAACACAACCUGAAAAAUGUUUUUUAAAAAUAAAUUAAGCAAUUCUAAAACAUUCACAUAAUAAAUCAGCAGAGAACUUCUCUAGAGGUGUCACAGUCUGUCUCCCUCAUUCUUCUUCAAGGACUCUUAAUUUGAAGUUUUCCCCCGGACUCCAUUUCCCAGGAUUCACUGCGCUAAUCACUUCUAUCAGUUCGUCAUCAUCUGCACCUGACAUCUAUUCGCUCAUUAGUUCCUCAGUGUCUAAAUACCCUCUAGUUUUGUUAAGUUUUGUUAGUCCUUGAUGUGUUUUGUUAUGAGGUGUUAUGUUAAGUUUAGUUUGAAUGUUAAGAUUUAGUGUUUGUUCCACUUCAGUGAUUACUAUUGUUGAGCCUUUCUUCUGUUUCCAC
This is a long non-coding RNA of Myxocyprinus asiaticus (Chinese sucker), 1713 nucleotides long. RefSeq lists it as uncharacterized. The transcript has 3 exons. Lineage: Eukaryota; Metazoa; Chordata; Actinopteri; Cypriniformes; Catostomidae. The record is from RefSeq and is a predicted model, not a curated record.